UCUUCUUCUGGAAGCUGGUUUCACAUGGUGGCUUAGAUUUUUCCAUCUUUGUAUCUAGCACCAUUUGAAAUCAGUGUUUUAGGAGUAAGA
This is a microRNA precursor of Ailuropoda melanoleuca (giant panda), 90 nucleotides long. Ensembl annotates it as microRNA 29b-2. Its record names the gene MIR29B2. NCBI's taxonomy places the organism in Eukaryota, Metazoa, Chordata, Mammalia, Carnivora, Ursidae. The record is from Ensembl.